Molecule: ribosomal RNA, 1476 nt
Filed under: metagenome
Description: bacterial SSU rRNA
Rfam family: Bacterial small subunit ribosomal RNA
Source: RNAcentral
AGAGUUUGAUCAUGGCUCAGGACGAACGCUGGCGGCGUGCCUAACACAUGCAAGUCGAACGGGGUGAAGCCCUUCGGGACCUUUACCUAGUGGCGAACGGGUGAGUAACGCGUGAGGAACCUGCCUUUCAGUGGGGGACAACAGUUGGAAACGACUGCUAAUACCGCAUGAAGCUUUUGGGAGACAUCUCCUGGAAGCCAAAGCUUAAUGUGCUGAAAGAUGGCCUCGCGUCUGAUUAGCUAGUUGGUGGGGUAACGGCCCACCAAGGCGACGAUCAGUAGCCGGUCUGAGAGGAUGAACGGCCACAUUGGGACUGAGAUACGGCCCAGACUCCUACGGGAGGCAGCAGUGGGGAAUAUUGGGCAAUGGGCGAAAGCCUGACCCAGCAACGCCGCGUGAAGGAAGAAGGCCUUCGGGUUGUAAACUUCUUUUACCAGGGACGAAGGACGUGACGGUACCUGGAGAAAAAGCAACGGCUAACUACGUGCCAGCAGCCGCGGUAAUACGUAGGUUGCAAGCGUUGUCCGGAUUUACUGGGUGUAAAGGGCGUGUAGGCGGAGAUGCAAGUUAGGAGUGAAAUCUAUGGGCUCAACCCAUAAACUGCUUCUAAAACUGUAUCCCUUGAGUAUCGGAGAGGCAAGCGGAAUUCCUAGUGUAGCGGUGAAAUGCGUAGAUAUUAGGAGGAACACCAGUGGCGAAGGCGGCUUGCUGGACGACAACUGACGCUGAGGCGCGAAAGCGUGGGGAGCAAACAGGAUUAGAUACCCUGGUAGUCCACGCUGUAAACGAUGAAUACUAGGUGUGGGGGGACUGACCCCCUCCGUGCCGCAGUUAACACAAUAAGUAUUCCACCUGGGGAGUACGACCGCAAGGUUGAAACUCAAAGGAAUUGACGGGGGCCCGCACAAGCAGUGGAUUAUGUGGUUUAAUUCGACGCAACGCGAAGAACCUUACCAGGACUUGACAUCCAACUAACGAAGUAGAGAUACAUCAGGUGCCCUUCGGGGAAAGUUGAGACAGGUGGUGCAUGGUUGUCGUCAGCUCGUGUCGUGAGAUGUUGGGUUAAGUCCCGCAACGAGCGCAACCCCUAUUGUUAGUUGCUACGAAAGAGCACUCUAGCGAGACUGCCGUUGACAAAACGGAGGAAGGCGGGGACGACGUCAAAUCAUCAUGCCCCUUAUGUCCUGGGCUACACACGUAAUACAAUGGUGGCCAACAAAGGGAGGCAAAGCCGCGAGGUGGAGCAAAUCCCAAAAAUAACGUCUCAGUUCGGACUGCAGUCUGCAACUCGACUGCACGAAGCUGGAAUCGCUAGUAAUCGCGAAUCAGAAUGUCGCGGUGAAUACGUUCCCGGGUCUUGUACACACCGCCCGUCACACCAUGGGAGUUGGUAACGCCCGAAGUCAGUGACCCAACCUUUUAGGAGGGAGCUGCCGAAGGCGGGACUGAUAACUGGGGUGAAGUCGUAACAAGGUA